This 430-nucleotide ribosomal RNA is filed under the name uncultured bacterium. RNAcentral's name for it is "bacterial SSU rRNA". It matches the Rfam family "Bacterial small subunit ribosomal RNA", at positions 917 to 1350 of the family's 1533-position model. The record is from RNAcentral.
GGGCCCGCACAAGCGGUGGAGCAUGUGGUUUAAUUCGAUGAUACGCGAGGAACCUUACCAGGGCUUAAAUGUAGAGUGACAGGGCUAGAGAUAGCUUUUUCUUCGGACACUUUACAAGGUGCUGCAUGGUUGUCGUCAGCUCGUGCCGUGAGGUGUCAGGUUAAGUCCUAUAACGAGCGCAACCCCUACUGCUAGUUGCUAACAGGUUAAGCUGAGGACUCUAGUGGGACUGCCGGUGCAAACCGCGAGGAAGGUGGGGAUGACGUCAAAUCAUCACGGCCCUUACGUCCUGGGCUACACACGUGCUACAAUGGUAGAGACAAUGAGCAGCCACUGCGUGAGCAGGAGCGAAUCUAUAAACACUGUCCAAGUCCGGAUUGGAGUCUGCAAUUCGACUCCAUGAAGUUGGAAUCGCUAGUAAUCGCUGAUC